This 401-nucleotide ribosomal RNA is filed under the name uncultured bacterium. Its description in RNAcentral is "bacterial SSU rRNA". It matches the Rfam family "Bacterial small subunit ribosomal RNA", at positions 358 to 774 of the family's 1533-position model. The record is from RNAcentral.
GGAAUAUUGGGCAAUGGGGGGAACCCUGACCCAGCAACGCCGCGUGAGGGAAGAAGGUUUUCGGAUCGUAAACCUCUGUCCUUGGUGAAGAGAGAGAGACGGUAGCCAAGGAGGAAGCCCCGGCUAACUACGUGCCAGCAGCCGCGGUAAUACGUAGGGGGCGAGCGUUGUCCGGAAUGAUUGGGCGUAAAGGGCGCGUAGGCGGCCCGGUAAGUCUGGAGUGAAAGUCCUGCUUUUAAGGUGGGAAUUGCUUUGGAUACUGUCGGGCUUGAGUGCAGGAGAGGUAAGUGGAAUUCCCAGUGUAGCGGUGAAAUGCGUAGAGAUUGGGAGGAACACCAGUGGCGAAGGCGACUUACUGGACUGUAACUGACGCUGAGGCGCGAAAGCCAGGGUAGCGAACG